RNAcentral lists this ribosomal RNA (253 nucleotides) under uncultured bacterium. RNAcentral describes it as "partial 16S ribosomal RNA". It matches the Rfam family "Bacterial small subunit ribosomal RNA", at positions 524 to 776 of the family's 1533-position model. The record is from RNAcentral.
UACGGAGGGUGCAAGCGUUGUCCGGAUUUACUGGGCGUAAAGAGUUCGUAGGCGGCUUUGUAAGUUAUCCUUCAAAGACCGGGGCUCAACCUCGGGAAGGGGGGUAAUACUACAAAGCUUGAAGAAUACAGGGGCUACUGGAACUGUCGGUGUAGGAGUGAAAUCCGUUGAUAUCGACAGGAACACCGAGGGCGAAGGCAAGUAGCUGGGUAUUUUUUGACGCUGAGGGACGAAAGCCAGGGGAGCGAAAGGG